This 143-nucleotide non-coding RNA is filed under the name uncultured Kluyvera sp. Its description in RNAcentral is "FMN riboswitch (RFN element)". It matches the Rfam family "FMN riboswitch aptamer (RFN element)". From Rfam's summary of the family: The RFN element is a highly conserved domain that is found frequently in the 5'-untranslated regions of prokaryotic mRNAs that encode for flavin mononucleotide (FMN) biosynthesis and transport proteins. Lineage: Bacteria; Pseudomonadati; Pseudomonadota; Gammaproteobacteria; Enterobacterales; Enterobacteriaceae. The record is from RNAcentral.
UAUUCUCAGGGCGGGGCGAAAUUCCCCACCGGCGGUAAAUCAGCUACGGCUGAAAGCCCGCGAGCGCUUCCUGUGAAAAUGGGAAGGUCAGCAGAUCCGGUGUAAUUCCGGGGCCGACGGUUAGAGUCCGGAUGGGAGAGAGU